Ictalurus furcatus (blue catfish) is the source of this 853-nucleotide non-coding RNA. The record is from the annotation of a RefSeq genome assembly. NCBI's taxonomy places the organism in Eukaryota, Metazoa, Chordata, Actinopteri, Siluriformes, Ictaluridae.
UCAAACUGGAAUUUUGGUAAAAUGAAGAAAUCAAAGUACAAUAGACACUUAGCUUCACACAAACAGACUGAUUUAGUGUUUAACCAGAGAGCGAGAGAGAGAGUGAGAGUGAGAGAGAGAGAGAGAGAGAGAGAGAGAGAGAGAGAGCAGUGAGGUGUAACUGAGAUUUGCAUUAACAGGACUGAAGAGUUUCAUUUCUCCCAGAAUAGCAAUUGCCAGUCCAUGCUUCAGUGCUCUGCGAGUGUUUAUAGCCCUGUGACUUUAACACUUCAUGACUGAGAGCUGCUGCUCAGCAACUUCACCCACAGCAACCAUGACUUUGAUCAGCGUCUUCAUCUGCACACUGGCCCUCUGGACUCAAGGAUCCAGAGGUCAGGUGACUGUGACUCAGACUCCUUCAGUGCAAACUGCUGAUCCAGGAAAAACAGUCACCUUCAACUGUAGAACCAGUAGCAGCGUGUAUGUUGGUGAUACUCUUCACUGGUACCUGCAGAAACCUGGAGAAGCUCCUAAACUCCUGAUCCAUGAUGCUACUAGCUCAUACACAGGGACUCCAGCUCGUUUCAGUGGCAGUGGAUCUAAUACUGACUUCACUCUGACCAUCAGAGGAGUCCAGACUGAAGAUGCAGGAGAUUACUACUGUCAGAGUGUACAUCAGAUCGGUAGUAGCUGGGUGUUCACACAGUGUUAGAGCGCCGUACAAAAACCUCGGUCAGUGAGAGUGCACAGAGAAGCACUGCUGCAGCUGGGAGCGACUGCAGGUGCUGAGGGGGAGGAUGUGAUACAGCACAAUGACACACACUGUGGACGAGAGAAAACACACCACACUAACUCACUAAUGCACACACACAUC